ACCCACCGUACUGACGACUAGCCAAUUGGUGGUUUGCCAUAAGCGGCGACCAUCUCCUUUCCUCCGUCUUCCUCUCUCACAACUCUCUAACCCUCUCCGCCUCGCUCCUCGGUAUCUCCCCUCUCUGACCUAACAAGAAGAUUGGGAAAGAUAAAUUUCGGUGAUUCUGCUGUUUCUAACCUUCGUCGAAUUCUCCAUCGAUUUCUCUCUUCAGCGGUCUCUCUCUAAUAGCGGCUGAAACAUUCUUGAACUCUGAGUUUCAGUCGAAAUUCUACUUUGAAAUUUCAGUUUUUAGGUAUAUGAUUUUGAAUUUGAGGUUGGGAUUUAGGGUUGCGAUUUGGGGAUGAGAUUUGGGUUUGGAAUUUCUGUCACAGAGGUCGUUUAGAUUCAGGUAAUUUAAUGUUAGUUUGAAUAAUUAUUAGGGUUUAACCUUUUUAAUUUCUAAUAUGAUAUUUGCUUCAAUUCUAUUAUGUGAUUGUGCCGAGGUGAGAUUAGAAAGUAUUCUUUGACAAGGAGCUUUGAAAAUGAAUGAGAUCAGUUUCCAGUUACUUUGUUUACUGAUUGAUUUCCCUUCACUCUUCUUUCUGCAUAACUCGUUAUGUAGAGGUCGUUAUAUUUUUCACUAGCCUCCCAGGUUCUUGAGAUUGUAGAAAAUUUCGGUGUAGUAAGUGAUCUUUCCGGAAAGGCAAGAUUGUUCGUGGUUCUUCCUAUGGCAAUAUUGGUUGCGUUCUUCGUUCUUUGGAUAUUUACUUCCCUCUCUGCAACUUUGAAUCAGCUUCAGGGGUCCAGGAGGAGCUAGAGCUUCUUGAGGAAGCGAGUGAGUUGGAAGCCAUGUAAUUUGUUGUACAUUCCUCUUUGUCUAUCUCUCUCAUCAAAUUUCGUGAUGUGACCAGACACACAGAGAUGGAUAUGGAUAUACAAUACAACAUGGGAUAAUGUACCACUUGUGCAAAAGAAGAACGAAGAGUUGAGAGUGCAAUGGAUUUGCAAAAGGAGAAAAAAGAGGUUAUCGCACAUUGAAGAUUUCUUUGGUAGCUAGUCAGUGGUAGACAAACAACACAGGGUAGAACCUUUUUGUUAGCACCUCAAUAUGUCUAGAGAGGUGUUGAAUUGACACCAUAAGUGUACUUGACUUGUUAGUUUUGGGAAUGUUCAUGUUAGAUUUUGAGACACUACAGGUGUAUAUAUUCAACUUAUGUCAUUAAAUUCUUGAUUAAUGAAAUUGUGAUUGACUGAAGCACUA
Molecule: non-coding RNA, 1243 nt
Organism: Malus domestica (apple)
Lineage: Eukaryota; Viridiplantae; Streptophyta; Magnoliopsida; Rosales; Rosaceae
Source: RefSeq, a predicted model, not a curated record